UAUCAUCCAUCAUCCAUGUUUUUUUCUUUCGAAAAUUUUAUUGAACCGGGUUGGAUGCGUUGCUGCGAGAAAAAACAGAAAAUGAAAUCGCCAAAGCAUAGUUGGUUAAAUGCUUUGCAUUAUAAGAUCAAAAAAAGUUAAUAGAGCUAAAGGAUUGCUGGAGAAUUCAUGGAUUAAAAAUAGAUAUAAGGCUCCCUGAGGCCGCCUCAACACGUGGUCUAGUUUGCCGGCUUUGUUAAUAUGGUACAUUUUUUAACAAGCUGCCCUUUUUCAUAACCCGGCAUCUGGAAGUAUAUGAUGCAGAGCCGCACAUUUCAUCAUGUUGCCAUUUUAGUUGGGCACUCGCUCCGGAAAACGUGACCAAGAUGCAUAUGCUGAUCAUCCGCUUUAUUCGUACCGCAGAUGUGUUUGUUGGUAAUGAUUCAACAUGAAGACGGAACUACCAAGACACAAUUGGGGUUUAUACGUUGCAUUUAAAUAAGUGAACCUCUGUUAAAAGAAGUCUGAACUAUGAACGGCUCCAUCAGCUAUAUUCUAUAUGGAUUUCACCCACUAUCAAGCUAGUGUAAAGUCCGACAUGACCUGAAGACUUCACUGGAUUGUAUUGCUUGUACUGCUUCAAAGAUUUGCUUUCCACUAGCCAUACAAUGUUAUAAGGCAGGUGCCGGCACGCCCAUAUCUAUUGUGCAUAGGAAGUGUGCAUAGAGUGCCGGCCACUGAUAGAAAGAUUGAUCAGUACUGUUCUAAGGAUACGACACUUGCUUGAGAUCCAUUUUAAGAACUUUGGGAAACAUAUUUAAAGGUAGCUUUGCCUCAUUGGGGACUGCGAAACGACUCAGAACUACAUCAGUGAGGUAAAAUGUUCUUUAAUUAUUCUUGUUGCUCUUUUCAAAUGAUGAAGAAGCCCUUAGUGGUUUUAUCUUCUUAGAAUCUCAAACAUCAUGCUGAUUUUGUCUUCUUUCCCCAACUGAUACAUCAUUUCAAUCGAAGACUUGAUUACAUUUGUAAACACAACGUACUAAUUAUGUUAUCUCUCUCUC
Molecule: long non-coding RNA, 1040 nt
Organism: Drosophila subobscura
Lineage: Eukaryota; Metazoa; Arthropoda; Insecta; Diptera; Drosophilidae
Exons: 11
Source: RefSeq, a predicted model, not a curated record